Nelumbo nucifera (sacred lotus) is the source of this 1205-nucleotide long non-coding RNA. RefSeq lists it as uncharacterized. NCBI's taxonomy places the organism in Eukaryota, Viridiplantae, Streptophyta, Magnoliopsida, Proteales, Nelumbonaceae. The record is from RefSeq and is a predicted model, not a curated record.
GUAGCACUGCCCCUAUCAGGUUCAAAGUAUCCAUAUAGUCCAAUAUGCCGAAUUGGGUGUAGCGGAUUUUGUAUCAACACACUUUUAUUAUUUUUUUCAAACAUGCUCAGGGGUCGGUUAAAGGCCUGACUACCCCUUGAAGCAGGUCUUACCCCGAAAUUCCCUUUAUUUCACGGUGACCCACUGAUAUAAUACGUAUCGAUACUUUAAACCUCAUGGUGUUUCCACCAUCAAACCUUCUUCAACAUUAAUCUCCUCUUAUGGAUUUUCAGCCUCAUCCAAUCAAGCCAUGAAUGAUAGAUUUGUAUUGGACUGUUAUAUCUGUAAUGCUUUUGCACUAUUGGGGGACAUACCAUUUUACAUGGCACAACUUCUGAAGGUCGACGAUAGCGAUUUUCCUGAGUCCUGACCUGGGUUUGGAGCAUUGAAGAAAUGGGAAUGGGAUACAAGAGAGGACUGAAGGCUCACAGUGCUGUGCAAUGAAACGUUUGAAAGUUCGGGUUUGCUGUUUGCUCCUCCCGCGUCUCUCUCUACUCUCGUUUCACUCUUUCAGUCUUCCAUUCUUUGUCUAUCUCUCUCUUCUCUAUUUCUCUUUGUCGGCUGUUUGCUGUUCGUGCUUUGCAAUAUUGGUUGGUUGGUGUUGAAGGAUUCGUAGGAUAAAGAGCUAUUUUUUCGUCUGGAUGGCUGCAAGGAGUGAAAUCAGAGUAGGUCGGUCUUUUCACUUGUGGAUUCUUCUACCGGAAAAUAGGAAUUUGGGACAAUUUAGGGUUAAUAGAGCAUAAAGACAAGGUGAUAUGGCGGAAAAGGGAGCACUUCAGCCCAACAAGAAGAGAGGCCCAGCCGAAGCCUUAUGGGAGGCUCCAAGAGGCGGCUGACUUUAGCAGAGUUUGAAGGGGAGUAGGACUCUCAACCAAAAGCUGUAAGAAAGAGUAUAAAAGAAAAAGAAAAAGGAGAAAUUAGGGUUCGACCCCUUGACACAAGAACAGAAAAGAGAAGUGCUAGGAGAAGGAUCACAAGGCUGCCGAAGGAGAAUUGAAAGGAGAUCGAAGAUUGAUGCAAAACUUCUGAGUUGUCUUCUUCUUUAAUUCAGCAUUUCGGUAACCUAGGUUCAACUAGGGUUUUUCUUUGUUUGAAUCUUUCUUUCUUUCUACUAUGCGAACCAUGAUUAAUGUUAAUUCAGAUCUGUAAUUAAUCUUUUAAGCUAA